AAGAUAUAAUAUCCAGCCUGGCUUCCAAAAACUCUCACCUGAUUUCCGCUCUUUUUUGGAGUCUCAAAGUUAAACUCGGACACUCCCUUGGAAACUCAGUCGCAUGAGAAGAUCGCCAGCCCGGAAAGCAGAAUGUGACACUCGUUAAAAUUGAGGCCAGUGCCCAAAUCCCAAUUUUGGGCAUUAUUAUUUUUUAAUUGAAAGCCUGAGACUAAAAUYCAAUUGCAAUAAAAUUACUGGGUUAAUGGUUAAAAAAAAAAAAAUCCCUUUUUUUGCUUCACCGUACUCUGAAGCCCACAUCUCAAUUGCACUGAGUAUAUUGCACGUACGACCACCUAUGGUCACAGUGUUUGCAGGCAAGGCCAUCAAGAACAAAAUAUGUUUGCUAUGGAUGGAUGAAGUCUAAUCGUAGGAGUAGGAGGAAAAAAAGAAAGCUAUUGUCAAAAGGUACUUUCUGCUUUACUACUUUCUUCAUACUUACUGAUUUAACAAAAAUUAAACAGAUGAAUUAUUGAGUAUCUUCUUCUAGAAGACUUCUUUUUAAGGUAAAUAUGCACAUGUGAAAUGUUCUCUGUUACAGAUACUUGAGCCGAUCCUACAGUGUGCCGAGUGCCCUAAACUAUUUUUGAAAAUCACUGAGGAAUGAAGGUGCUACGUAUGCCCAAGUAAACACUUCAGAAGAUGUGGGACUUUGUUUGAACGAGGAUCAUUUAGAAAAAGAACAGACUGAGGUACUGUAACAUGCAUUAAUCCUAAUCUUUUCCUAGCAGAUAUGGGAUUUGUGUAACAAUGCCUGUCAGGCCAAAUUGAGCUCAGUUGAGUUAGUGCUCCCUUUCUGGGAGCUUAC
Molecule: long non-coding RNA, 847 nt
Filed under: Dromaius novaehollandiae (emu)
Lineage: Eukaryota; Metazoa; Chordata; Aves; Casuariiformes; Dromaiidae
Description: lncRNA (ENSDNVG00000010592.1)
Source: RNAcentral